AAAUAUAUUAAAAAGACGAGAAGACCCUAUAGAGUUUUAUAAUUAAAUUUAAUUGAAAUUAUUUAUAAAAUUAAAAUUAAAAUUAAUUUAAUUAUUAUAUUGGGGUGAUAGAAAAAUAUGAAAAACUUUUUAUAUAUUUAUAUUAAGAACAUCAAUAAAUGAUUAAAUGAUCCAAUAUUAUUGAUUAUAAGAAAAAAUUACCUUAGGGAUAACAGCGUAAUUUUUUUUUUUAGUUCAUAUAA
Molecule: ribosomal RNA, 242 nt
Filed under: Sesamia sp. SEKEG3694
Lineage: Eukaryota; Metazoa; Arthropoda; Insecta; Lepidoptera; Noctuidae
Description: partial 16S large subunit ribosomal RNA
Source: RNAcentral